GGGUAACCUAACCUAUGCAGGGGAAUAACCUCGGGAAACUGAGUAUAAUGCCCCAUAGUCCACUACGCCUGGAACGGUGAGUGGAUUAAAGCUCAGGCGGCAUAGGAUGGGCCUGCGGCGUAUCAGGUCGUAGGGGGUGUAAAGUACCCUCUAGCCAUCUACGCGUACGGGUGUUGGGAGACAUAGCCCGGAGAUGGAUUCUGAGACACGAAUCCAGACCCUACGGGGUGCAGCAGGCGCGAAAACUUGACAAUGCGAGCAAUCGUGAUCAGGGAACUCCAAGUGGCUGGGGUAAGACCCAGUCUUUUCAUAACUCUUCAAAGGUUGUAGAAUAAGGGGUGGGUAAGGACGGUGCCAGCCGCCGCGGUAAUACCGGCGCCUCAAGUGGUAGUCGCUUUUAUUGGGCCUAAAACGUCCGUAGCCGGUUUGGUACAUUCGUGGGUAAAUCAACUCGCUCAACGAGUUGAAUUCUGCGAGGACGGCCAGACUUGGGACCGGGAGAGGUGUGGGGUACUCUCAGGGUAGGGGUAAAAUCCUGUCAUCCUGAGAGGACCACCUGUUGCGAAGGCGCCACACUAGAACGGAUCCGACGGUCAGGGACGAAGCCUAGGGGCACGAACCGGAUUAGAUACCCGGGUAGUCCUAGGUGUAAACGCUGUGGACUUGAUGUUGGAGAAGCUCCGAGCUUCUUCAGUGUCGAAGCGAAGGUGAUAAGUCCACUGCCUGGGAAGUACGGUCGCAAGGCUGAAAACU
This 753-nucleotide ribosomal RNA is filed under the name uncultured Candidatus Poseidoniales archaeon. Its description in RNAcentral is "bacterial SSU rRNA". It matches the Rfam family "Archaeal small subunit ribosomal RNA", at positions 102 to 856 of the family's 1478-position model. The record is from RNAcentral. Lineage: Archaea; Methanobacteriati; Thermoplasmatota; Candidatus Poseidoniia; Candidatus Poseidoniales.